UAGGGAAUCCUCGGCAAUGGGGGCAACCCUGACCGAGCAACGCCGCGUGAGUGAAGAAGGUUUUCGGAUCGUAAAGCUCUGUUGUAAGAGAAGAACGUGUGUGAGAGUGGAAAGUUCACACAGUGACGGUAACUUACCAGAAAGGGACGGCUAACUACGUGCCAGCAGCCGCGGUAAUACGUAGGUCCCGAGCGUUGUCCGGAUUUAUUGGGCGUAAAGCGAGCGCAGGCGGUUUAAUAAGUCUGAAGUUAAAGGCAGUGGCUUAACCAUUGUUCGCUUUGGAAACUGUUAAACUUGAGUGCAGAAGGGGAGAGUGGAAUUCCAUGUGUAGCGGUGCAAUGCGUAGAUAUAUGGAGGAACACCGGUGGCGAAAGCGGCUCUCUGGUCUGUAACUGACGCUGAGGCUCGAAAGCGUGGGGAGCAAACAGG
RNAcentral lists this ribosomal RNA (429 nucleotides) under bacterium. RNAcentral describes it as "partial 16S ribosomal RNA". It matches the Rfam family "Bacterial small subunit ribosomal RNA", at positions 355 to 776 of the family's 1533-position model. The record is from RNAcentral.